This 460-nucleotide ribosomal RNA is filed under the name uncultured bacterium. RNAcentral's name for it is "partial 16S ribosomal RNA". It matches the Rfam family "Bacterial small subunit ribosomal RNA", at positions 338 to 795 of the family's 1533-position model. The record is from RNAcentral.
CCUACGGGAGGCAGCAGUGAGGAAUAUUGGUCAAUGGCCGGAAGGCUGAACCAGCCAUGCCGCGUGAAGGUCAGUGCCCUAUGGGCGUUAAACUUCUUUUGUGCGGGAGCAAUAAUGGUCACGUGUGGCCAGACGAGAGUACCGUACGAAUAAGCAUCGGCUAACUCCGUGCCAGCAGCCGCGGUAAUACGGGGGAUGCAAGCGUUAUCCGGAUUUAUUGGGUUUAAAGGGUGCGUAGGCUGUGAGGUAAGUCAGCGGGGAAAUGCCCCCGCUCAAUGGGGUGAAGUGCCAUUGAUACUGCCUUGCUGGAAUGCGGAUGCCGUGGGAGGAAUGUGUGGUGUAGCGGUGAAAUGCAUAGAUAUCACACAGAACACCGAUUGCGAAGGCAUCUCACGAAUCCGCGAUUGACGCUGAUGCACGAAAGCGUGGGUAUCAAACAGGAUUAGAUACCCCAGUAGUC